AUCACCAGUCUUCCAAAAGCUGCUAGUUUGACAGCGAUGAGUACUAACAAUAGCCAUGUUCGCUGUUUACGUCCAUAAUGAACAUUUUGGGGGAGUGGCUUUGGAGGCCUGAAGCGACAGACUGCCAAACACUUUCUCAUUCA
Long non-coding RNA from Sebastes umbrosus (honeycomb rockfish), 143 nucleotides. RefSeq lists it as uncharacterized. The transcript has 3 exons. The record is from RefSeq and is a predicted model, not a curated record. Lineage: Eukaryota; Metazoa; Chordata; Actinopteri; Perciformes; Sebastidae.